AUGUUCAGUCUAAAGGGACUCAGCACGGACGUCCUCACUCCGCGUCCUAGACUCAGGCCUUUACUUCCCCAGUUGGCGGGAUCAGGUCCGAGGAGCCUGGUAAACAAUCCCGCGUGCUGGGGAAUCUGCAAGGUCUGCUCCCGGCCGGAGCCACAGCCCCACGGCCACGGCCACGCGAACCCGGGGAUCCCUCGGGCCCACGUUCUCUUCUGCAAGCGCUCGCUCCGCUUCCGGGAACGGCGUCCACAGGGCUGGCUCCCCAGGGAAGGAGCGUCCGGAGCCGCAGGUGACCGCCUGACCCCUCCGAUGCCGGCCCCACGCGGCCCGGGGCUCCCGCGGCCGGGCAGGGACACCGCCAGGCCCGGGGCCAGCUUCCUGGGCGGCGGCUCCAAGGUCCCCGACCCGGGCCCGCGGGGGGACGGGUCAGCCGGAGAUGUCGGGCUGUCGGGCUGCGACCCGGACCGCCAGCACCCGCGCUUCCCACGGCGGCACCUCAGCCUCUGCUCUUUGCUAAGAUUUUAUUUAUUCCUGAGGGACCCAGAGACAGGGGCGGAGACCCAGGCGGGGGCAGCAGCAGGCGCGAUGCGGCCUCGACCCGGGACGGGGACCCGCAGCCCCGCAGCCCCGGCCCGCUGCUCAGCGUCCAAGGGCGCCCCUCCCGCGCCUCGGGCUCCGCGGGGCCUUCCUCCGGGGACGUCAGGCCCUGACCCAGCGGCCGCGGGGCACGGUUUCCAGGGGCCCCGAGUGCAGCUGCGGGGGUCAGGACGUCGGCCCCCGGCUCUGGCGACACGGGCACCCGGAAGCCAAGGCGGGAGGCCGGGGGGAGCCCUGCGGAGCAGAGCACGAGCCCUGCAGGGAGCGAGGCGCGGGCGGGCGGGGCCGGUGCAGACUGAGCUCCCGGUGGGCCCCGCCGCUGCAGCGCCCUGGGGCGCCCCCAGAGCCCCCCGCACGCCCGUCUUGGGCCCGCGGUCGGGAUCCCGCUGGGCUCGGGGACUCUGCUGCCGCGGCCCGGGCUGA
RNAcentral lists this long non-coding RNA (1017 nucleotides) under Canis lupus familiaris (dog). RNAcentral describes it as "lncRNA (ENSCAFG00030018906.1)". Lineage: Eukaryota; Metazoa; Chordata; Mammalia; Carnivora; Canidae. The record is from RNAcentral.